UACGGAGGAUGCGAGCGUUAUCCGGAUUUAUUGGGUUUAAAGGGUGCGUAGGCGGGCUUUUAAGUCAGCGGUAAAAAUUCGGGGCUCAACCCCGUCCGGCCGUUGAAGCUGGGGGCCUUGAGUGGGCGAGAAGAAGGCGGAAUGCGUGGUGUAGCGGUGAAAUGCAUAGAUAUCACGCAGAACCCCGAUUGCGAAGGCAGCCUUCCGGCGCCCUACUGACGCUGAGGCACGAAAGUGCGGGGAUCGAACAGG
RNAcentral lists this ribosomal RNA (252 nucleotides) under uncultured bacterium. RNAcentral describes it as "partial 16S ribosomal RNA". It matches the Rfam family "Bacterial small subunit ribosomal RNA", at positions 524 to 776 of the family's 1533-position model. The record is from RNAcentral.